This 1144-nucleotide ribosomal RNA is filed under the name uncultured fungus. Its description in RNAcentral is "eukaryotic LSU rRNA". The stretch from base 712 to 1144 matches the Rfam family "Eukaryotic large subunit ribosomal RNA", at positions 1 to 429 of the family's 3401-position model. Lineage: Eukaryota; Fungi. The record is from RNAcentral.
UCCGUAGGUGAACCUGCGGAAGGAUCAUUGACACUAAAUCCAAAACCUCAAACCUUACGUGAAUCUGUAUUUAAUUUAAAUCCUCUGUGAAGUAUAAGUUGGUGAUGGUUGUGAUCAAGAAUCAUAAAAAUGGUUUUAACGAUUCUUUCAUGACAUGUUAAAUCAACUAUAACUUCAGCUAUGGAGGAUUGACCUCUUAUUUUACCAUUUUUAACCCAUUUACUAACCCCAAUUCACCCUUUGCUCUGAACUAACAACUUUUAUUGUUAAAUAUAUUUUAACAAAAGAACAACUCUUAGCAACGGAUAUCUUGGUUCUCGCAUCGAUGAAGAACGCAGCGAAAUGCGAAACGUAAUGCGAAUUGCAGAACUCAGCGAAUCAUCAAAUCUUUGAACGCAAAUUGCGCUCGCUGGUUAGCCCGGCGAGCACGCCUCUUUGAGUGUCGGUACUAUCAUCCCCGAGAGCGUGCCUAUGUAUGGGUACACGUGAUUGGGUUCAUGAGUGUUGGUGGUGCUCACUGUCGUGGGUCCUUACAUCACUUGAAAUACGUACAGUCAUUUCUCCUUACGUGGGAGUUGGCAUGAAGUUACUUUCACCUUGGUGAAUUUAUUUUGUGCUGACGUCUCGACGAAGCUUCCUUGGAGGUGAGUCGACCGUUGUAAGUCUAUUGAACGGCUGAUAUGAAAGUACGGAAAACAAACAACAUAAAUAAGACCUCAAAUGAAGCGGGAAACCCCCUGAAUUUAAGCAUAUUAUUAAGGGGAGGAAAAGAAACUAACAAGGAUUCCCCCAGUAACGGCGAGUGAAGCGGGAAGAGCUCAAUUUGAUAAUCGGCAGGCCUAACCGCCUGUCGAGUUGUAUCCUAGAGACGUUCUGUCAGUGUCAACCCGGGUAUAAAUCUUUUGAAACAAGGUAUCAUAGAGGGUGAGAAUCCCGUUUAUGACCCGGAGUUCGCCACGUACGACGUGCGUUCGCAGAGUCGAGUUGCUUGGGAGUGCAGCUCUAAAUGGGUGGUAAAGUUCAUCUAAAGCUAAAUAUUGGUGGGAGACCGAUAGCGAACAAGUACCGUGAGGGAAAGAUGAAAAGACUUUUGAAAAGAGUGUAAAAUAGUACCUGAAACUGCUGAAAGGGAAACGCUUGAAGU